RNAcentral lists this ribosomal RNA (497 nucleotides) under uncultured bacterium. RNAcentral's name for it is "partial 16S ribosomal RNA". It matches the Rfam family "Bacterial small subunit ribosomal RNA", at positions 28 to 507 of the family's 1533-position model. The record is from RNAcentral.
GAUGAACGCUGGCGGCGUGCCUAAUACAUGCAAGUCGAGCGAACGGACGAGAAGCUUGCUUCUCUGAUGUUAGCGGCGGACGGGUGAGUAACACGUGGAUAACCUACCUAUAAGACUGGGAUAACUUCGGGAAACCGGAGCUAAUACCGGAUGAUAUUUUGAACCGCAUGGUUCAAAAGUGAAAGACGGUCUUGCUGUCACUUAUAGAUGGAUCCGCGCUGCAUUAGCUAGUUGGUAAGGUAACGGCUUACCAAGGCAACGAUGCAUAGCCGACCUGAGAGAGUGAUCGGCCACACUGGAACUGAGACACGGUCCAGACUCCUACGGGAGGCAGCAGUAGGGAAUCUUCCGCAAUGGGCGAAAGCCUGACGGAGCAACGCCGCGUGAGUGAUGAAGGUCUUCGGAUCGUAAAACUCUGUUAUUAGGGAAGAACAUAUGUGUAAGUAACUGUGCACAUCUUGACGGUACCUAAUCAGAAGGCCACGGCUAACUACGUG